This 527-nucleotide ribosomal RNA is filed under the name Bifidobacterium breve. RNAcentral's name for it is "bacterial SSU rRNA". It matches the Rfam family "Bacterial small subunit ribosomal RNA", at positions 160 to 697 of the family's 1533-position model. Lineage: Bacteria; Bacillati; Actinomycetota; Actinomycetes; Bifidobacteriales; Bifidobacteriaceae. The record is from RNAcentral.
GUGGUAAUGCCGGAUGCUCCAUCACACUGCAUGGUGUGUUGGGAAAGCCUUUGCGGCAUGGGAUGGGGUCGCGUCCUAUCAGCUUGAUGGCGGGGUAACGGCCCACCAUGGCUUCGACGGGUAGCCGGCCUGAGAGGGCGACCGGCCACAUUGGGACUGAGAUACGGCCCAGACUCCUACGGGAGGCAGCAGUGGGGAAUAUUGCACAAUGGGCGCAAGCCUGAUGCAGCGACGCCGCGUGAGGGAUGGAGGCCUUCGGGUUGUAAACCUCUUUUGUUAGGGAGCAAGGCAUUUUGUGUUGAGUGUACCUUUCGAAUAAGCACCGGCUAACUACGUGCCAGCAGCCGCGGUAAUACGUAGGGUGCAAGCGUUAUCCGGAAUUAUUGGGCGUAAAGGGCUCGUAGGCGGUUCGUCGCGUCCGGUGUGAAAGUCCAUCGCUUAACGGUGGAUCCGCGCCGGGUACGGGCGGGCUUGAGUGCGGUAGGGGAGACUGGAAUUCCCGGUGUAACGGUGGAAUGUGUAGAUAU